GACUACCGGGGUAUCUAAUCCUGUUUGAUCCCCACGCUUUCGAGCCUCAGUGUCAAUAAUCCCGUAGUAAGCUGCCUUCGCAAUGGGUGUUCUAUGUCAUAUCUAAGCAUUUCACCGCUACAUGACAUAUUCCGCUUACCUCCAGGAUAUUCAAGACAGAUAGUAUCAAUGGCAGUUUCCGGGUUAAGCCCGGAGAUUUCACCACUGACUUACCUGCCCACCUACGCUCCCUUUAAACCCAGUAAAUCCGGAUAACGCUUGCACCCUCCGUAUUACCGCGGCUGCUGGCACGGAGUUAGCCGGUGCUUAUUCCUCUGGUACCGUCAAGUGAGCUAGAAAGCCCUUUUUUCGUCCCAGAUAAAAGAAGUUUACAAUCCAGAGGACCUUCAUCCUUCACGCGGCAUGGCUGGUUCAGACUUUCGUCCAUUGACCAAUAUUCCUUACUGCUGCCCCCCGUAGG
This 460-nucleotide ribosomal RNA is filed under the name uncultured Ferruginibacter sp. Its description in RNAcentral is "partial 16S ribosomal RNA". The record is from RNAcentral. Lineage: Bacteria; Pseudomonadati; Bacteroidota; Chitinophagia; Chitinophagales; Chitinophagaceae.